Molecule: long non-coding RNA, 267 nt
Filed under: Elaeis guineensis (African oil palm)
Lineage: Eukaryota; Viridiplantae; Streptophyta; Magnoliopsida; Arecales; Arecaceae
Description: long non-coding RNA (EGUI_LNC066057)
Source: RNAcentral
AUCAGGUUGAGAAACAACAAAACCGUAUGAUUAUUUUUUUAACUUUAAAAAUGUUGGGUUCUAGCCACACAGUGAAAAGUAAUUUUUUAAAAUUUUAAAAUCAAAUAACUUAAUAGCUUUAUCAAAUAAAACUAUCGAGCCAGAAUCCAAACCAUAGAAUCACCUUGCCGAUAUCGAUAAAACAAAGACAAGCAUACAAAAGAGAUAGAAUUUUAUACUUUCACCAAAAUAAAAAAGUGGCAUAUUGGUGUUCUCCACAAGACCCCA